Molecule: ribosomal RNA, 515 nt
Filed under: uncultured bacterium
Lineage: Bacteria
Description: bacterial SSU rRNA
Rfam family: Bacterial small subunit ribosomal RNA
Source: RNAcentral
CUGGCUCAGAUUGAACGCUGGCGGCGUGCUUAACACAUGCAAGUCGCGCGUGAAAGGACUUCGGUCCGAGUAAAGCGGCGCACGGGUGAGUAACGCGUGGAUGAUCUACCCAUGAGUUAGGAAUAACGGCUGGAAACGGUCGCUAAUACCAAAUACGCUCCGAUUUCAACUUCGGGGGGAAAGGUGGCCUCUGCUUGCAAGCUACUGCUCAUGGAUGAGUCCGCGUCCCAUUAGCUAGUUGGUGGGGUAACGGCCCACCAAGGCGACGAUGGGUAGCCGGUCUGAGAGGAUGACCGGCCACACUGGGACUGGAACACGGCCCAGACUCCUACGGGAGGCAGCAGUGGGGAAUAUUGCGCAAUGGGCGAAAGCCUGACGCAGCGACGCCGCGUGAGGGAUGAAGGUCCUCGGAUCGUAAACCUCUGUCAGGAGGGAAGAACCGCCACGGUGCUAAUCAGCCGUGGUCUGACGGUACCUCCAAAGGAAGCACCGGCUAACUCCGUGCCAGCAGCCGC